CACGUGGGCAACCUGCCCUGAAGCGGGGGAUAACAUCUGGAAACAGGUGCUAAUACCGCAUAACAACGAAAACCACAUGGUUUUCGUUUCAAAGAUGGUUUCGGCUAUCACUUCAGGAUGGGCCCGCGGUGCAUUAGCUAGUUGGUAAGGUAACGGCUUACCAAGGCAAUGAUGCAUAGCCGAGUUGAGAGACUGAUCGGCCACAAUGGAACUGAGACACGGUCCAUACUCCUACGGGAGGCAGCAGUAGGGAAUCUUCCACAAUGGGCGCAAGCCUGAUGGAGCAACACCGCGUGAGUGAAGAAGGGUUUCGGCUCGUAAAGCUCUGUUGUUGGAGAAGAACGUGCGUGAGAGUAACUGUUCACGCAGUGACGGUAUCCAACCAGAAAGUCACGGCUAACUACGUGCCAGCAGCCGCGGUAAUACGUAGGUGGCAAGCGUUGUCCGGAUUUAUUGGGCGUAAAGCGAGCGCAGGCGGUUGCUUAGGUCUGAUGUGAAAGCCUUCGGCUUAACCGAAGAAGGGCAUCGGAAACCGGGCAACUUGAGUGCAGAAGAGGACAGUGGAACUCCAUGUGUAGCGGUGGAAUGCGUAGAUAUAUGGAAGAACACCAGUGGCGAAGGCGGCUGUCUGGUCUGCAACUGACGCUGAGGCUCGAAAGCAUGGGUAGCGAACAGGAUUAGAUACCCUGGUAGUCCAUGCCGUAAACGAUGAGUGCU
RNAcentral lists this ribosomal RNA (717 nucleotides) under uncultured bacterium. Its description in RNAcentral is "bacterial SSU rRNA". It matches the Rfam family "Bacterial small subunit ribosomal RNA", at positions 114 to 817 of the family's 1533-position model. The record is from RNAcentral.